RNAcentral lists this small nuclear RNA (107 nucleotides) under Castor canadensis (American beaver). Lineage: Eukaryota; Metazoa; Chordata; Mammalia; Rodentia; Castoridae. The record is from RNAcentral.
GUGCUUACUUCAGCUGCACAUAUAUUAAAAUUGAAAUGAUAUAGAGAAAAUUAGCAUUGUCCCUGUGCAAGGAUGACAUGAAAAUUCAUGAAUUAUUCUAUAUUUGU